Molecule: long non-coding RNA, 1157 nt
Filed under: Equus caballus (horse)
Lineage: Eukaryota; Metazoa; Chordata; Mammalia; Perissodactyla; Equidae
Description: lncRNA (ENSECAG00000047074.1)
Source: RNAcentral
UAAAUGGAUAUCCCUACUAUGACUGUGAAAACAUGUCAGGUGCCACUUUAGUGUCACAGACAGAAAGCACACACCUAUGCAAUAUGGCUUACCCUAUAUUUAUUUGUAAAAAUCCAAGUAUUAGGGUUCUUUAUGAUUAUUCCAGGUAAGUGUAUAAAAGAGAUUAAGUGCUUUUCUUUCAUCAUUUGAUUAUUUUCUUUAAAAUCAGCUAUUACAGGAUAUUUUUUUAUUUUAUACAUGCUGUUUUUUAAUUAAAAUAUAAUCACUGAUAACUGAAGUUUACUAAUUUUGAUUUUAUAAGGUUUGUAGCAUUACAGAAUAAACUGGAUUUAUAAAUGAGCUGUGAUUAACAAUGUAAAGUAUUAAUUAUUGAACUUGAACCAGAUUUUUAGGAAAAUUAUAUUAUUUCUUUUUCCCCUUUAUGGUCUUAACUAAUUUGAAUCCUUGAAGAAGGAUUUUUCCAUACAAUUUUUUGAGAAGGAAGAUAAUUGGGGGGAAAGAAUGCAUGUAUGAUACUCCAUAAAUUCAACAUUCUUUAAGUAAUAAAUGAUUAUAAACAAGAUGCAUCUUCCAUAGUAUUAAUAUACUGAGCCUUGGAUUUUAUAUUUAAUAUAGGACCUAAAAAUUCUGGUUACUCAGUUAAGUUGUAUGGUUCCUAGCUUAUAAGGGCUAGAUCUAAGAUUAUUCCUGUGAGAAAUGUUGAAUUUAUGAAGAGUGGGUUUUGAGGCUUUGAAAAUGCCUCACAUAAAAACAUCAAUGUCCAAACAUCUACCUUUUUUCAUAGGAGUAGACACUACCAAGCUGGACAAAAGUAUUGGUCACACCAUGACCUGUGGUCUGUUGAUGAUUGAUACAAAACUUUUCUUGUGUGAUUCUUAAUUUACCACUACAGCACAAGUAUUACCUCAGUGGAUUAUCUGAAGUAACAUCUGAAAGAUGGGUUCAUCUGUGUUUGCUCUUAAAACUAUUAUUUUUUUCCUAUCUCAAGUUGGCUUUGCAUUUAUCAGAGUAAAUAAAUUCUUCAGCUGCCUUAUUAGGAGUGCUAUGAGGGUAACACCUUUUCUGCUUUUCAUCUUGUAUUUAGUUUACUGUACUAAGUAUUUGAUUUCAGAUUCAAUGAAUGUAAAUAGAAAUUAAAUACAAAUUUGAAUGAACAU